Long non-coding RNA from Silurus meridionalis, 536 nucleotides. RefSeq lists it as uncharacterized. The transcript has 2 exons. Lineage: Eukaryota; Metazoa; Chordata; Actinopteri; Siluriformes; Siluridae. The record is from RefSeq and is a predicted model, not a curated record.
GAAGAAGUCUGCUGCCGAUUAGCAUAAUUAGCCAAAUUAUCUUCAUUUCAUCGGAGAUUGGAAGUGAUAACGACAAAAGUUCUUUAGCUGAAGCUGAAGCUGACUCUGAUGCGGUCGGUGAGGCAGAGCAUCAUCGAGCAGCGCUUCCCCGAGUUUGUGAGGAACUUCAUGAGGAGGAUGUUCUCCAGCGGCGAGACGUAUCCUGGCUGGGCCGUGGACGCCCUCGCAUCAGUCAACAUCACUCUGGAAUAAAAUGUCUUUAUAUUUAUAUUUGUGUAUAUAAUAUGCUUGUAUGCAAAUUUUUAUGCUUCUUUUUUAUUUUAUUUUUUUAUUAAAAUUUAAAAUAAUUAAAAUAAAUAGAAAAUUAAAAUAAUUAAAAUUCAUUUAUUUUAUUUUAUAUUUUUUGGGCUCAUGGACUUCUCCCUUCCAGACUUCCACAUCUGUACAGAUGUUCAUUGGUCUGUUUUUAACCGAUGACUAAUUUUUACUACUGUAUCUGGUUUUUAUUUCAAAUAAAACAAACAAAAACACUGUUA